This is a long non-coding RNA of Phyllopteryx taeniolatus (common seadragon), 628 nucleotides long. RefSeq lists it as uncharacterized. Lineage: Eukaryota; Metazoa; Chordata; Actinopteri; Syngnathiformes; Syngnathidae. The transcript is spliced from 3 exons. The record is from RefSeq and is a predicted model, not a curated record.
CCUGUGUCAUUUUGUCUAGUCACUCAAGCACAUGCUCGUCAGACAUUUUGAUAACUGGAAGAAUGCCAUCACAUAUGCGUAACAGUGACGACAAAGAGGAAAAUGUGACAAUAACCAUUGACCCAAAAACGGUAACUUACUGCAUUAUAGGUGUCUUCAAAGUGUGUUGCUAAAAUGUGGCCGUGAGCAAGCUGUUCUGGUUACACGGAUCAAUGGUGGCUUCACGCAAGGGGCGUUCAAUUGCAGUCUGGACGUGGAGGGUUGAACAUCUGCUCUUGACGUAGCCUCAGAGUCUCCACAAUUCUCCAAUGAUACCACAAAAUGUCACUAGUUUUAUUGUUGUGGCUUUUAAAAAAAAAAAAAAAAAAGUCGCUCGAGGGGCUGGAAAAGUCACUCAAUAUGGCGACAAAGUUGCUCACUUGGCAACACUGAGUUGCUGCUUAUUUUGUAGCUCUGCCCCCGGUUGUCAUUGCACGUCCCACCAAAACCAAGCCAUUUGAACCACAGUGUCACAAGUGGAUGUUAAGUGUCCUUUUAUUUUGUAUCUAUUUGUAUUUUGUCAGAUUAUUAAAAGGGUUUAGUACCCUCAUUAAAAUUAUUCAGUCAUCAUGAAAUUGUAGGCGAAUAA